AAGGAAGCGAAUAAGGGCGUACGGGGGAUGCCUUGGCUUUCGGAGACGACGAAGGACGUGGUAAGCUGCGAAAAGCUACGGGGAGUUGCAAACAAGCUUUGAUCCGUAGAUGUCCGAAUGGGGGAACCCUGCAGGUUGAAGACCUGUAAUCAUCGCAAGAUGAAGAGAACCUGGGGAACUGAAACAUCUAAGUACCUGGAGGAAAAGAAAACAAUAGUUAUUCCGUGAGUAGUGGCGAGCGAAAGCGGAGAAGCCCAAAAGUUAUUACAUAGAGAGCAGAACUGUUUUGGAAAAGCAGACCAUAGGAGGUGAGAGUCCUGUAAGCGAAAGGAUGUAAUAAUGAACAUAGAGUAGGGCGGAGCCGGUGAAACUCUGUCUGAAUAUGCCAGCACCAUCUGGUAAGGCUAAAUACUACCGAAAGACCGAUAGUGAACCAGUACUGUAAAGGAAAGGUGAAAAGAACCCUAAGAAAGGGAGUGAAAAGAACCUGAAACCGUGCGCUUACAAGCGGUCGGAGCCUGAGUAAUUGGGUGACGGCGUGCCUUUUGCAUAAUGAGCCUACGAGUUAUGCCUCACUAGCAAGUUUAAGUCCCUAAGGGACGGAGGCGGAGCGAAAGCGAGUCUGAAAAGGGCGAGAGCUAGUGGGGAUAGACGCGAAACCUUGUGAUCUACCCAUGAGCAGGUUGAAGGUGGGAUAAUCUCCCACUGGAGGACCGAACUGGUAAACGUUGAAAAGUUUUCGGAUGACUUGUGGGUAGGGGUGAAAGGCCAAUCAAACUGGGAGAUAGCUCGUACUCCCCGAAAUGCAUUUUGGUGCAGCGUUAGGAAGAGUGUGCUGGAGGUAGAGCUACCAAUAGGGCUAGGGGGGCUUCACGGCCUACCAACCCCUGAUGAACUCCGAAUGCCAGCACAUUGCACUAGCAGUGAGGCGUGGGGUGCUAAGGUCACACGCCGAGAGGGGAACAACCCAGACCAACAGCUAAGGUCCCCAAAUGAUAUCUAAGUUGAACAAACGAUGUGAGAAUGCUAAGACAGCUAGGAUGUUGGCUUGGAAGCAGCCAUUCAUUUAAAGAGUGCGUAACAGCUCACUAGUCGAGCGUUCUUGCGCGGAAAAUAAUCGGGCAUCAAGAUAUCUACCGAAGCUUUGGAUUCAUAGUAAUAUGAGUGGUAGGGGAGCAUUCUAAAGCGUUGAAGCUGUACUGUGAGGUAUGGUGGAGCGAAGAGAAAAGCAAAUGUAGGCAUGAGUAACGAUAAUUAAGAUGAGAAAUCUUAACGCCGUAAGACUAAGGGUUCCUAGAUCUAUGUUAAUCAGAUCAGGGUUAGUCGGGUCCUAAGGUGUACCCAAGAGGGGAAGCCGAUGGCAAGCCGGUUAAUAUUCCGGCACCUGUAUAUACUGCGAUGGGGGGACGAAGGAGCGUAAGGCUGGCCACGAGACGGAAUACGUGGUUGAAGUGCGUAGACGUUGAUCCGGUAGGCAAAUCCGCCGGUGAGUUGAAACACGAUAGUAUUCUAAUGACUUCGGUCAUUGGGAAUAAAGCCCCAAGCAAGCUUCCGAGAAAAGCCUCUAAGCUUCAGGUAUAUAGAGCCCGUACCGCAAACCGACACAGGUGGUCGAGGAGAGUAUCCUAAGGCGCUCGAGUGAUCCGUGGCUAAGGAACUAGGCAAAAUAGUCUCGUAACUUCGGGAGAAGAGACGCCCCGCGUAAGCGGGGCCGCAGUGAAGAGGCCCAGGCGACUGUUUAGCAAAAACACAGGACUCUGCAAAUUCGAAAGAAGAAGUAUAGGGUCUGACACCUGCCCGGUGCUGGAAGGUUAAGAGGAGCGGUCAGCGCAAGCGAAGCUCUUAAUUGAAGCCCCAGUAAACGGCGGCCGUAACUAUAACGGUCCUAAGGUAGCGAAAUUCCUUGUCGGGUAAGUUCCGACCUGCACGAAUGGUGUAACGAUCUGGGCACUGUCUCAGCCACGAGCUCGGUGAAAUUGAAGUAUCGGUGAAGAUGCCGAUUACCCGCAAUGGGACGAAAAGACCCCGUGAACCUUUACUAUAACUUCACAUUGGGCUUGAAUAUAAGAUGUGUAGGAUAGGUGGGAGACUGCGAAGUUGUCACGCUAGUGGCGAUGGAGUCGGCGUUGAAAUACCACCCUUUUUAUAUUUAGGUCCUAAUCCCUGGAAAGAGGGAGACAGUGUGUGGCGGGUAGUUUGACUGGGGUGGUCGCCUCCGAAAGAGUAACGGAGGCUUGCAAAGGUACCCUCAGUGCCGUUGGUAACGGUACGCAGAGCAUAUUAGUAGAAGGGUGCUUGACUGAGAGACUGACGGGUCGAUCAGGGUCGAAAGACGGCUAAAGUGAUCCGGUGUUUCCGCAUGGAAGGGACAUCGCUCAAAGGAUAAAAGGUACUCCGGGGAUAACAGGCUGAUCUCCCCCAAGAGCUCAUAUCGACGGGGAGGUUUGGCACCUCGAUGUCGGCUCGUCACAUCCUGGGGCUGGAGAAGGUCCCAAGGGUUGGGCUGUUCGCCCAUUAAAGUGGCACGUGAGCUGGGUUCAGAACGUCGCAAGACAGUUCGGUCUCUAUCUAUUGUGGGCGUUGGAAUAUUGAGGAGUCCUGACACUAGUACGAGAGGACCGUGUUGGACGAACCGCUAGUGUACCUGUUGUGGCGCCAGCUGCAGUGCAGGGUAGCUAUGUUCGGACUGGAUAAGCACUGAAAGCAUCUAAGUGCGAAGCCAUCUCCAAGAUGAGUAUUCCUUGAAGGGUCGUAGAAGAUGACUACGUUGAUAGGCUACAGGUGGAAGUGCAGUAAUGUAUGGAGCUGAGUAGUACUAAUUACCCGAAAGCUUCCUUUU
Molecule: ribosomal RNA, 2839 nt
Filed under: Saprospiraceae bacterium
Lineage: Bacteria; Pseudomonadati; Bacteroidota; Saprospiria; Saprospirales; Saprospiraceae
Description: 23S ribosomal RNA
Rfam family: Bacterial large subunit ribosomal RNA
Source: RNAcentral